AAGCGCUUUUGGGGAGCACAUCGCAGUGGCAGCUCCCUGCUCCCAUCCCAGGGCCUGGUCCUGCAGAUCUGGGCAGGGAGACUGCCAGGCAAGCUCGUGCUGUUCCUCCUGCUAAAAAAUCCCUCAGCAUGUGUGUCCUGAGCAUUGGAAUUGUCCAGGGAAGCCCUAAGGAGCUCUUCCAGGAGCAGUUGCUGUGUCACAGGCCCUCCUUCACCGGCUCUCCUCUCAGGCUGUCCUAUUCUUACCCUGGGGCCUCCAGGAGCCACUGUUAACUGUCCUAGCUGAGGAUAUGGAAAUCGGAAGCUCAAGGUCUCACCACGUGUGAGUCAUAGGGCGAGUCAUAGGACUGGGUUUCACACAGAUCCCCGACUGGAGGAACCCAUGUGGUCUCUCGUGCCUUGUCUCCCCUAGGUGACACUCAGACCAAGGUGCAUUCAGCGAAUCUCUGCCUAACCAUCCGGAAUACAUGCACCUGGUAGCUGUGGGACAGCAGGUAGGAGGGAUGAUGCGCCCCCUUGUGGUGGUCAUUGAAGAUGCUUUAGGUAGCUUUCUUCCUGCCAGGUGGAGUGGAAGUAGAGAUGACUUCCAAGGUCAGGAUGAAGUUCGUGAAUGGCCUAGGGCAAGGGCCCCUGAACUGAGGUCCGUGGAAUGAGUAGUCACCACUGCAUGUUGAGCACUGCCCCAAAAUGAUGAAGCUCCUCUUGCUUUUCCGAAGCUGUUGGUGAUUUUUAUCCAUUAUCCCUGAGGUGGCUCUGUAACCGUUGAGAGGAAGUCUUACUUAACCUAGCGGACACAUGAACGAGAGGCUCCAGGAGGACCUGCGACUUAGAGGUGGAGCUUGGGAUGAAGGUGACAAGGACAUGAGAGAUGAAAAAGGGGAGGCCAGCAGGUGUGAAUCAUACCUCCCUCUCCGGCCCCUCCUCCUGGAGAGCUGGGGGAGGUGGGAGGAGUCUCUUCCCCCACCCAGGCUGGAAUUUCACCACAGAGAAGUAAAGGCCCCAGGAGCCAGAUAUUCUCAAGUUCGUGGUCACAGUCUGCAGAGGAGACCAGAACAGAUAGAAGACCUGAAGGACCCAUCUGGCCAAGAUGAGGACCAACAGCCCCUGCUGUGGUGUGUACCCUGGUUUUGGUCCACGAGGCCCAUGUGUUGAAGGCUGGGUCCCUCAUGUCUUAUACAAAUGGUACUGAGAGGGGGAACUGAUCUAAUCAUG
This is a long non-coding RNA of Ochotona curzoniae (black-lipped pika), 1211 nucleotides long. RefSeq lists it as uncharacterized. The record is from RefSeq and is a predicted model, not a curated record. Lineage: Eukaryota; Metazoa; Chordata; Mammalia; Lagomorpha; Ochotonidae. The transcript is spliced from 3 exons.